CGCCAGACUCCUACGGGAGGCAGCAGUGGGGAAUAUUGCACAAUGGGGGAAACCCUGAUGCAGCGACGCCGCGUGAGCGAAGAAGUACCUCGGUAUGUAAAGCUCUAUCAGCAGGGAAGAAGAUGACGGUACCUGACCAAGAAGCUCCGGCUAAAUACGUGCCAGCAGCCGCGGUAAUACGUAUGGAGCAAGCGUUAUCCGGAUUUACUGGGUGUAAAGGGAGCGCAGGCGGCACGGCAAGUCCGGUGUGAAAGCCCGGGGCCCAACCCCGGGACUGCACUGGAAACUGCCGGGCUGGAGUGUCGGAGGGGCAGGCGGAAUUCCUAGUGUAGCGGUGAAAUGCGUAGAUAUUAGGAGGAACACCGGUGGCGAAGGCGGCCUGCUGGACGACGACUGACGCUGAGGCUCGAAAGCGUGGGGAGCAAACAGGAUUAGAUACCCUAGUAA
This 447-nucleotide ribosomal RNA is filed under the name uncultured bacterium. RNAcentral describes it as "partial 16S ribosomal RNA". It matches the Rfam family "Bacterial small subunit ribosomal RNA", at positions 329 to 793 of the family's 1533-position model. The record is from RNAcentral.